Molecule: ribosomal RNA, 275 nt
Filed under: uncultured Actinomycetales bacterium
Lineage: Bacteria; Bacillati; Actinomycetota; Actinomycetes; Actinomycetales
Description: partial 16S ribosomal RNA
Rfam family: Bacterial small subunit ribosomal RNA
Source: RNAcentral
ANGGUGCGAGCGUUGUCCGGAAUUACUGGGCGUAAAGGGCUCGUAGGUGGUUUGUCGCGUCGUCUGUGAAAUUCCGGGGCUUAACUCCGGGCGUGCAGGCGAUACGGGCAUAACUUGAGUACUGUAGGGGUAACUGGAAUUCCUGGUGUAGCGGUGAAAUGCGCAGAUAUCAGGAGGAACACCGAUGGCGAAGGCAGGUUACUGGGCAGUUACUGACGCUGAGGAGCGAAAGCAUGGGUAGCGAACAGGAUUAGAUACCCUGGUAGUCAAGGGCG